CCUACGGGUGGCAGCAGUGGGGAAUAUUGCACAAUGGGGGAAACCCUGAUGCAGCAACGCCGCGUGAGUGAAGAAGGUCUUCGGAUUGUAAAGCUCUGUUCGUAGGGAAGAUAAUGACGGUAGCCGAUGAUAAAGCUCCGGCUAACUACGUGCCAGCAGCCGCGGUAAUACGUAGGGAGCGAGCGUUAUCCGGAUUUACUGGGUGUAAAGGGUGCGCAGACGGCACGGCAAGUCAGGCGUGAAAGGUAGGGGCUCAACCCCUAAAUUGCGCUUGAAACUGUGGAGCUAGAGUGAAGUAGAGGCAAGCGGAAUUCCUGGUGUAGCGGUGAAAUGCGUAGAGAUCGGGAGGAACACCAGUGGCGAAGGCGGCCUACUGGGCUUUAACUGACGUUCAGGCACGAAAGCAUGGGUAGCAAACAGGAUUAGAUACCCUAGUAGUC
Molecule: ribosomal RNA, 440 nt
Filed under: uncultured bacterium
Lineage: Bacteria
Description: partial 16S ribosomal RNA
Rfam family: Bacterial small subunit ribosomal RNA
Source: RNAcentral